AAGGGCACCACAAGAACGCGUGGAACAUGUGGCUUAAUUUGACUCAACGCGAGAAAUCUUACCGGGUCCGGACACACUGAGGAUUGACAGGCAAUCGUGUAAAGGAGAUUCUUUUACAUAUGUAAAUAAGCUAGUCCUUUCAUGAUUAUGUGAUAGGUGGUGCAUGGCCGUUCUUAGUUCGUGGAGUGAUCUGUCUGCUUAAUUGCGUUUAGCAUGGGAUUUAACACUGAAAAUAAAAAUGUAUACCUCAAUUCUUGUUUUCAUUUAAUAUGUUUAUUUAAAUGUUUGCAAAUACGACUUGUGGUAUGCAUGUUAAAUCUUUAAACCAACGAACGUGACCGCAUCCUUUUGUUGCCUCCUGCUUUUAAUUGGGUAUUUUAAUUUUACUAUUUAUACUUUUAUUUUCAACAAUGGAGGUUUAGAACUAAAGGGACCGCUGUGAUUUUUUAAACCAGAGGAAGGUUGCGGCAAUAACAGGUCUGUGAUGCCCUUAGAUGUCCCGGGCUGCACACGUGUUACAAUGAUUAUUGCAGUGAGCAUCUAAUUUUUUAUACUGUAUCAAUAACAAAUUCUUCUUUUAUAAGUUCUAUUUUUUUUUGGCAGUAAAGGCCUGCUUCGUGAGAACGCAGGUAAUCAAUUGGAAGUAAUGAUUUCUUUUUUAAUUCAAAUAUUUUUGAUUUUGUGUGCACACAAUAUGCUGCUCCCUUCCCAGAUAGUUAGCUUUUUUAGUCUUUCUAUUUUAAGUGUGAUGGGAUGUUUCAGCAUGUGCUUUUUAUUAAUUCAUGGUGGGGACAGACCCUUGUAAAUUAUGGGUCUUGGUCUUAACUAGGAAUGCCUCGUACGGGUCUUGGUUCAACAAACCACCCGGAAUACGUCCCUGCCCUUUGUACACACCGCCCGUC
This 902-nucleotide ribosomal RNA is filed under the name Cerelasma sp. 1 MH-2017. Its description in RNAcentral is "bacterial SSU rRNA". It matches the Rfam family "Eukaryotic small subunit ribosomal RNA", at positions 1160 to 1677 of the family's 1831-position model. Lineage: Eukaryota; Foraminifera; Cerelasmidae. The record is from RNAcentral.